AAUUCAUGGCAACUAGUAUUCCCUCAAACUAUUUUUUCCCUUCUUAUUUUGCAGUCUUCCUGAGCUACUUACCUCUACCUUUGCUGAAUGUCAACAUUUACAGAUCCCAUUCUGAAGAAUGCAAUUCUUUCCAUACCCACUGCUUGGAACUCCAGCAUCUAAUGUACCACCAAACCAAGUGCUCAAAUCACUGUCAGACAAUAAACAUUAUGUUGCUUAAACUAUGG
RNAcentral lists this long non-coding RNA (227 nucleotides) under Anas platyrhynchos platyrhynchos (common mallard). RNAcentral describes it as "lncRNA (ENSAPLG00000020126.1)". The record is from RNAcentral. Lineage: Eukaryota; Metazoa; Chordata; Aves; Anseriformes; Anatidae.